UUUUUAAUUAUGAUAAUUUAACAACAAUAUUAAUAUUUUUGUUUAUUCUAACAAUUAUAAUUUGUACUUUCACAGGCUCAAACCAAAAUGGAUUGUUUUUCCGGGGUCUGAAGAGGCUCGACAAGAAGUGGCAGGAGGAUUCAAGCAGAAGUUUGGUGUGCCAAAUGUAAUUGGUGCCAUUGAUUGCACACAUGUGUCAUUGUUCCCACCACCUGGGUUGACCAAAAUUCAAUGUAAGAACCGACAUGAUUACAUGUCAAUCAAUGUGCAACUGGUCUGUGAUGCAGACUGCCGGAUGCUCAAUUGCAAUGCAAAUUAUCCAGGCCGGGUCCAUGACCAAUUUAUUUUUAAUAACUCGGUAAUAAAUGAUGAGAUGAGGAGGCUAUAUACCAACAGGAUUGGUGACUAUUUUCUAUUGGGAGAUGCUGGCUAUGCGUUGGAGCCAUGGCUCAUGACUCCAUUAACCAGUCCCUGCUUCACACAAAUCAUAAGACUUGAUGCCGAAACGGGCCGCCUUGAGUUGAUUACAUUGUUUGAAACUAAGGCGGCCUUUCCACAGAAGCAGGGACUCGUCCAGACUGAUGAACCGCUGAGGAGUAUAGAGUAAGUGAGCAUAAAAAAUUUAGAAAUGUCUAAAAAAAAUAUUGUGCCUGCGCUGCCAGUGGCCCGCACGCCGGGUGGAACACUGAGGGGAUGAGGCUGCUGACGGCGUGCUGGAUCUGGAAGACUGCGGAUAUGGCAGCCGGCAGCGACACCAGAGACACCUCUCCUGCGGUAUCCUGGUGGCACCCCGCGUGCGGGACCAUCCAUCCCGCGGGCAGGACGUCGUCGGUCUCGUCGUGCGCUGCCUUUGCGUGACCAGCAGAUAGCAGAAAUGCUGGCUGGUCACAACUCCGGCAGCGACGACGAGUUCGGUGAAGUCUAUAGUGAAGGCGAAGAAGAAGAAGAUGAAGUCGGCUGUGGAAGAGAGCCCACCGAUUCCCAACUUCUCGCCGUGGCGAGACGACUACGGUCUAUAAUAAUUGAUAAGGAGGAGUUAGGCGAGACUGAGGCGGAACUUUACGUAGAAGAACAUCAGGAGGUAGGACUCCUCGAAGGAUUGGGAAUAAGUGAAGAUACCUUCACUUAUUCAUGAGAUGUUGGGACAUGUUGGAAAAUAUGGGGUCUGAGAAUAUGGUGGGAGAGGCA
This is a long non-coding RNA of Pectinophora gossypiella (pink bollworm), 1188 nucleotides long. RefSeq lists it as uncharacterized. The transcript is spliced from 5 exons. Lineage: Eukaryota; Metazoa; Arthropoda; Insecta; Lepidoptera; Gelechiidae. The record is from RefSeq and is a predicted model, not a curated record.